RNAcentral lists this ribosomal RNA (419 nucleotides) under Salmonella enterica subsp. enterica serovar Infantis. Its description in RNAcentral is "bacterial SSU rRNA". It matches the Rfam family "Bacterial small subunit ribosomal RNA", at positions 1096 to 1515 of the family's 1533-position model. RNAcentral also lists the same sequence under 7 other names. Lineage: Bacteria; Pseudomonadati; Pseudomonadota; Gammaproteobacteria; Enterobacterales; Enterobacteriaceae. The record is from RNAcentral.
GCGCAACCCUUAUCCUUUGUUGCCAGCGGUCCGGCCGGGAACUCAAAGGAGACUGCCAGUGAUAAACUGGAGGAAGGUGGGGAUGACGUCAAGUCAUCAUGGCCCUUACGACCAGGGCUACACACGUGCUACAAUGGCGCAUACAAAGAGAAGCGACCUCGCGAGAGCAAGCGGACCUCAUAAAGUGCGUCGUAGUCCGGAUUGGAGUCUGCAACUCGACUCCAUGAAGUCGGAAUCGCUAGUAAUCGUGGAUCAGAAUGCCACGGUGAAUACGUUCCCGGGCCUUGUACACACCGCCCGUCACACCAUGGGAGUGGGUUGCAAAAGAAGUAGGUAGCUUAACCUUCGGGAGGGCGCUUACCACUUUGUGAUUCAUGACUGGGGUGAAGUCGUAACAAGGUAACCGUAGGGGAACCUGC